CUAUUUUCAAUUCCCAGGAUAAAAAAUUUCGCUUUUCAAGGAUAUUUUAAUUCCGAAGAUCUUUAAUAUGUGCAUCCUGUGAAAAUGUUUACGCAUUCAUGGCUUCAACAAGGUUCAGGCAUUCAAAUUAGAACAAUGGUGAAUUUCUAAGGGUAGCGGUUUUUUUGAGACACCCUGUAUGACUAACACUGACAUGGAAAGUUGAUGAUUCAACGGACAAUAGUCAAUACUCUUCCCAACACAUUCCAUAGAUUUUUUAUUAAUCCUAUAGUAUUGUUAGC
Non-coding RNA from Paramuricea clavata, 281 nucleotides. Lineage: Eukaryota; Metazoa; Cnidaria; Anthozoa; Malacalcyonacea; Plexauridae. The record is from the annotation of a GenBank genome assembly.